RNAcentral lists this microRNA precursor (88 nucleotides) under Petromyzon marinus (sea lamprey). RNAcentral's name for it is "microRNA pma-mir-130e precursor". Its record names the gene pma-mir-130e. Lineage: Eukaryota; Metazoa; Chordata; Hyperoartia; Petromyzontiformes; Petromyzontidae. The record is from miRBase by way of RNAcentral.
UCUGCAGUCCGGCACCUUUUCAAGUUUGCACUCCUAUGGCGCUCCGUAUGAAGCAGUGCAAUAUUGAAAAAGGGUACGGGACUGCGGG